AGAUAUUAAUUGUGGUGCGCUUACGUGGGAUUUUAGACUGCUAAAUUAAUUAUAUUACACGGUAGAUUUAUUUAAUUAAAGCCGCGAUUUUAUUUAUUGUCAGCGAACGUUUUACUUCGCAGCGGGUGCGUAAGAAAAGCAAGGAACGGCCGUGUAAAGGUAGUGGCGGCGUGGGCCAUAGCAAGGGAGUCAGCUUUAACGGCAGAGUCGGUGUGGUGUACAGGCAGUCUCGUCAAUCCCUAUCCACUCUGAUGUCUAGGUAGAAUUUACUCUAUUAUUUCGUACUGUGCCAGGUCUUUUCUCGAGUCUUGUGUAUGUCGGCACAGGAGUUUGUGUUUAUUUAUUUAUCUUGUGACCGCUGUAUUAGCGGGGUACCCAUAGUGCAUGCAUGUCUUGAGCUUUGCUUCCGCUGUUCU
Molecule: long non-coding RNA, 416 nt
Organism: Diospyros lotus (date-plum)
Lineage: Eukaryota; Viridiplantae; Streptophyta; Magnoliopsida; Ericales; Ebenaceae
Exons: 2
Source: RefSeq, a predicted model, not a curated record